UUCUAGAUGGUUUAGUGGUAUAAUUCUUGCUUUGGGUUCUUCUCAACUGAAAUGCAAGAGGCCCUGGGUUCGAUUCCCAGUUCAGCCC
RNAcentral lists this transfer RNA (88 nucleotides) under Exophiala viscosa. RNAcentral's name for it is "Exophiala sp. JF 03-3F tRNA-Pro". The stretch from base 7 to 81 matches the Rfam family "tRNA", at positions 7 to 64 of the family's 71-position model. From Rfam's summary of the family: Transfer RNA (tRNA) molecules are approximately 80 nucleotides in length. Their secondary structure includes four short double-helical elements and three loops (D, anti-codon, and T loops). The record is from RNAcentral. Lineage: Eukaryota; Fungi; Ascomycota; Eurotiomycetes; Chaetothyriales; Herpotrichiellaceae.